This 97-nucleotide signal recognition particle RNA is filed under the name Beggiatoa sp. IS2. RNAcentral's name for it is "signal recognition particle sRNA small type". It matches the Rfam family "Bacterial small signal recognition particle RNA". From Rfam's summary of the family: The signal recognition particle (SRP) is a universally conserved ribonucleoprotein involved in the co-translational targeting of proteins to membranes. Archaeal SRP consists of a 7S RNA and homologues of the eukaryotic SRP19 and SRP54 proteins. In most bacteria, the SRP consists of a 4.5S RNA and the Ffh protein (a homologue of the eukaryotic SRP54 protein). The record is from RNAcentral. Lineage: Bacteria; Pseudomonadati; Pseudomonadota; Gammaproteobacteria; Thiotrichales; Thiotrichaceae.
UGUUGGUCCCCUCGCAACGAGAGGCUGUGAACCCCGUCAGGUCUGGAAGGAAGCAGCGGCAACGGCGGAUACGGGUGCCGAGGUCAGGCGGGCAGAU